This 855-nucleotide ribosomal RNA is filed under the name uncultured anaerobic bacterium. Its description in RNAcentral is "bacterial SSU rRNA". It matches the Rfam family "Bacterial small subunit ribosomal RNA", at positions 29 to 896 of the family's 1533-position model. The record is from RNAcentral.
ACGAACGCUUGCGGCGUGCCUAAGAAAUGCAAGUCGAGCGAGCUUAGGGCUUCGGCCCAAAAGCUGGCGGCGAACGGUCGAGUAACACGUGAGCAACCUGCCCCAAAGUGGGGGAUAGCCCGCCGAAAGGCGGAUUAAUACCGCGUGUGGCCGGCUCCGGGCAUCCGGAGUCGAUUAAAGCAGCAAUGCACUUUGGGAUGGGCUCGCGGCCUAUCAGCUAGUUGGUGAGGUAACGGCCCACCAAGGCUACGACGGGUAGCUGGUCUGAGAGGAUGGUCAGCCGGAUUGGGACCGAGAUACGGCCCAGACUCCUACGGGGGGCAGCAAUUAGGGAUCUUGCGCAAUGGGCGAAAGCCUGACGCAGCGACGCCGCGUGACUGACGAAGUCCUUCGGGAUGUAAAGGUCUUUUACCAGGGAAGAAGAACGUGACGGUACCUGGUGAAUAAGCCCCGGCUAACUACGUGCCAGCAGCCGCGGUAAUACGUAGGGGGCGAGCGUUGUCCGAAGUUACUGGGCGUAAAGCGCGCGUAGGCGGCCGCUUAAGUUGGAUGUGAAAUCCCACAGCUCAACUGUGGAACUGCAUCCAAAACUGGGCGGCUAGAGGAUGGAAGAGGGUAGUGGAAUUCCUGGUGUAGCGGUGAAAUGCGUAGAUAUCAGGAGGAACACCCGUGGCGAAGGCGGCUACCUGGUCCAUUUCUGACGCUGAGGUGCGAAAGCUAGGGGAGCGAACGGGAUUAGAUACCCCGGUAGUCCUAGCCGUAAACGAUGGAUACUAGGUGUAAGUGGUAUCGACCCCACUUGUGCCGAAGCUAACGCAUUAAGUAUCCCGCCUGGGGAGUACGGCCGCAAGGUUG